ACUGGGUCUAAUACCGGAUAUGACCCUCNANCGCAUGNUGGAGGGUGGAAAGUUUUUUCGGUUGGGGAUGGGCUCGCGGCCUAUCAGUUAGUUGGUGAGGUAAUGGCUCACCAAGACGACGACGGGUAGCCGGCCUGAGAGGGCGACCGGCCACACUGGGACUGAGACACGGCCCAGACUCCUACGGGAGGCAGCAGUGGGGAAUAUUGCACAAUGGGGGAAACCCUGAUGCAGCGACGCAGCGUGCGGGAUGACGGCCUUCGGGUUGUAAACCGCUUUCAGCAGGGAAGAAGCCUUUAUCGGUGACGGUACCUGCAGAAGAAGUACCGGCUAACUACGUGCCAGCAGCCGCGGUAAUACGUAGGGUACGAGCGUUGUCCGGAAUUAUUGGGCGUAAAGAGCUCGUAGGUGGUUGGUCACGUCUGCUGUGGAAACGCAACGCUNAACGUUGCGCGUGCAGUGGGUACGGGCUGACUAGAGUGCAGUAGGGGAGUCUGGAAUUCCUGGUGUAGCGGUGAAAUGCGCAGAUAUCAGGAGGAACACCGGUGGCGAAGGCGGGACUCUGGGCUGUAACUGACACUGAGGAGCGAAAGCAUGNGNAGCGAACAGGAUNAGAUA
This 618-nucleotide ribosomal RNA is filed under the name Brevibacterium sp. WH009010s. Its description in RNAcentral is "bacterial SSU rRNA". It matches the Rfam family "Bacterial small subunit ribosomal RNA", at positions 156 to 784 of the family's 1533-position model. Lineage: Bacteria; Bacillati; Actinomycetota; Actinomycetes; Micrococcales; Brevibacteriaceae. The record is from RNAcentral.